UUCCAGGUCAGCGACUCUCUUCAGCAGAA
Molecule: non-coding RNA, 29 nt
Filed under: Mus musculus (house mouse)
Lineage: Eukaryota; Metazoa; Chordata; Mammalia; Rodentia; Muridae
Source: RNAcentral